GAUGAACGCUGGCGGCGUGCCUAAUACAUGCAAGUCGAGCGAACAGACGAGGAGCUUGCUCCUCUGACGUUAGCGGCGGACGGGUGAGUAACACGUGGAUAACCUACCUAUAAGACUGGGAUAACUUCGGGAAACCGGAGCUAAUACCGGAUAAUAUAUUGAACCGCAUGGUUCAAUAGUGAAAGACGGUUUUGCUGUCACUUAUAGAUGGAUCCGCGCCGCAUUAGCUAGUUGGUAAGGUAACGGCUUACCAAGGCAACGAUGCGUAGCCGACCUGAGAGGGUGAUCGGCAACAAUGGAACUGAGACACGGUCCAGACUCCUAAGGGAAGCAGCAGUAGGGAAAAUUCCGCAAUGGGCGAAAGCCUGACGGAGCAACGGCGCGUGAGUGAUGAAGGUCUUCGGAUCGUAAAACUAUGUUAGUAGGGAAGACCAAAUGUGUAAGUAACUAUGAACGUCUUGACGGUACCUAAUCAGAAAGCCACGGAUAACUACGUG
Molecule: ribosomal RNA, 497 nt
Filed under: uncultured bacterium
Lineage: Bacteria
Description: partial 16S ribosomal RNA
Rfam family: Bacterial small subunit ribosomal RNA
Source: RNAcentral